AACGAACGCUGGCGGCAUGCUUAACACAUGCAAGUCGAACGAGACCUCCGGGCUUAGUGGCGCACGGGUGCGUAACGCGGGGGAACCUGCCCUUAGGUUCGGAAUAACUCCCUGAAAGGGGUCCUAAGACAGGUGAAUGUCUUCGCGCCAAAGAUCUCUCGCUUUUGGCUGGGGGCGCGUUGGCUUAGCCAGUUGGUAGGGUAAUAGCCUACCAAGGCGAGGAUGCAGAGCUGGUGGGAGAGGAUGCUCAGCCACGCUUGGACUGAGACACGGCCCAGAAUCCUACGGGAGGGAGCGGUGGAGAAUAUUGGACGAUGAACGCAAGCGUGAUACAGCCGUGCCGCGUAAGUGAUGAAGGGCUUAGGGUUGUAAAGCUCUUUUAGCCGGGGUGAUAGUGACAGUAACGGGAGAAUAAGCACCGGCUAACUCCGUG
This 433-nucleotide ribosomal RNA is filed under the name uncultured bacterium. RNAcentral describes it as "partial 16S ribosomal RNA". It matches the Rfam family "Bacterial small subunit ribosomal RNA", at positions 29 to 507 of the family's 1533-position model. The record is from RNAcentral.